This 75-nucleotide transfer RNA is filed under the name Hyphomicrobiales bacterium. Its description in RNAcentral is "tRNA-Val". It matches the Rfam family "tRNA". From Rfam's summary of the family: Transfer RNA (tRNA) molecules are approximately 80 nucleotides in length. Their secondary structure includes four short double-helical elements and three loops (D, anti-codon, and T loops). Further hydrogen bonds mediate the characteristic L-shaped molecular structure. tRNAs have two regions of fundamental functional importance: the anti-codon, which is responsible for specific mRNA codon recognition, and the 3' end, to which the tRNAs corresponding amino acid is attached (by aminoacyl-tRNA synthetases). tRNAs cope with the degeneracy of the genetic code in two manners: having more than one tRNA (with a specific anti-codon) for a particular amino acid; and 'wobble' base-pairing, i.e. permitting non-standard base-pairing at the 3rd anti-codon position. RNAcentral also lists the same sequence under 5 other names. Lineage: Bacteria; Pseudomonadati; Pseudomonadota; Alphaproteobacteria; Hyphomicrobiales. The record is from RNAcentral.
GGGCGCUUAGCUCAGCGGGAGAGCGCUACCCUCACACGGUAGAAGUCGCUGGUUCAAAUCCAGCAGCGCCUACCA